CCAGCCCGCUCAGAAACUCAAAUGAAUUGACGGGGCCCGCACAAGCGGUGGAGUAUGUGGUUUAAUUCGAUGCAACGCGAAGAACCUUACCUGGUCUUGACAUCCCGGAGACCCUUAGGAAACUAGGGGUGCUUCCAUCUGGAAGAAUCUGGAGACAGGUGCUGCAUGGCUGUCGUCAGCUCGUGUCGUGAGAUGUUGGGUUAAGUCCCGCAACGAGCGCAACCCUUGCCUUUAGUUGCCAGCAGUUCGGCUGGGCACUCUAAAGGGACUGCCGGUGUUAAACCGGAGGAAGGUGGGGAUGACGUCAAGUCCUCAUGGCCUUUAUGACCAGGGCUACACACGUACUACAAUGGCCGAUACAAAGGGCAGCGACACUGCGAGGUGAAGCCAAUCCCGUAAAAUCGGUCUCAGUCCGGAUUGGAGUCUGCAACUCGACUCCAUGAAGUUGGAAUCGCUAGUAAUCGUGGAUCAGCAUGCCACGGUGAAUACGUUCCCGGGCCUU
Molecule: ribosomal RNA, 502 nt
Filed under: uncultured Desulfobulbus sp.
Lineage: Bacteria; Pseudomonadati; Thermodesulfobacteriota; Desulfobulbia; Desulfobulbales; Desulfobulbaceae
Description: bacterial SSU rRNA
Rfam family: Bacterial small subunit ribosomal RNA
Source: RNAcentral